ACCCCAGGCCCUGGUACACAGCAGGCAGAGAUGGGUUUCACCAUGGUGAUCAGGAUGGUCUCGAACUCCUGACCUCAAGUGAUCCACCCACCUUGGCCUCCCAAAGUGCUGGGAUUACAGGCCUCCAGGCGGGCACGCAUCUUUGUUGUGUUCUCUGCUGACUAUAUCCUCAGCACCUAGAACUGUGUCUGUCACCUAAUAGAUGCUCAAUAAACCUGCCAGUAAUUUCAGCAAAUGAAACGUGGAACACGUCAAGGCCAGAGGAUGGAAAAGGCUCCAGUUUUGAUAAAAGGAGGCCUGCUUGGCUUGGAAUCCUCUCUCCUGCUGGUUGGGAGAUGCAAAGAUGUUUCCAGAGAGGGGCUGAUGAAUUGAGGGGAAAGAAAUGAGCCCAGUAUGAGUCCCCUUUCAGGGCUGAGCGUGUAUAAAACCAAACAACUUGGAACCGCUCCAAGAGAGGGGAUUAAAGCAACAUGUUAUUCUGA
RNAcentral lists this long non-coding RNA (482 nucleotides) under Homo sapiens (human). RNAcentral's name for it is "MIR193b-365a host gene". Lineage: Eukaryota; Metazoa; Chordata; Mammalia; Primates; Hominidae. The record is from RNAcentral.